UGGGGAAUAUUGCACAAUGGGCGCAAGCCUGAUGUAGCCAUGCCGCGUGUAUGAAGAAGGCCUUCGGGUUGUAAAGUACUUUCAGCGGGGAGGAAGGGAGUAAAGUUAAUACCUUUGCUCAUUGACGUUACCCGCAGAAGAAGCACCGGCUAACUCCGUGCCAGCAGCCGCGGUAAUACGGAGGGUGCAAGCGUUAAUCGGAAUUACUGGGCGUAAAGCGCACGCAGGCGGUCUGUCAAGUCGGAUGUGAAAUCCCCGGGCUCAACCUGGGAACUGCAUUCGAAACUGGCAGGCUAGAGUCUUGUAGAGGGGGGUAGAAUUCCAGGUGUAGCGGUGAAAUGCGUAGAGAUCUGGAGGAAUACCGGUGGCGAAGGCGGCCCCCUGGACAAAGACUGACGCUCAGGUGCGAAAGCGUGGGGAGCAAACAGG
RNAcentral lists this ribosomal RNA (429 nucleotides) under Chloroflexota bacterium. Its description in RNAcentral is "Chloroflexi bacterium partial 16S ribosomal RNA". It matches the Rfam family "Bacterial small subunit ribosomal RNA", at positions 355 to 776 of the family's 1533-position model. The record is from RNAcentral. Lineage: Bacteria; Bacillati; Chloroflexota.